RNAcentral lists this long non-coding RNA (801 nucleotides) under Canis lupus familiaris (dog). RNAcentral's name for it is "lncRNA (ENSCAFG00000048394.2)". The record is from RNAcentral. Lineage: Eukaryota; Metazoa; Chordata; Mammalia; Carnivora; Canidae.
AUGCAGGGAGCCCGACGUGGGACUAGAUCCUGGGACUCGAUCCCCUGGGUCUCAAUCCUGGGUCUGGAUCCCCUGGGACUCGAUCCUGGGUCUGGAUCCCCUGGGACUCGAUCCCGGGUCUGGAUCCUGGGUCUCGAUCCCCUGGGUCUGGAUCCUGGGUCUCGAUCCCCUGGGACUCGAUCCUGGGUCUCGAUCCCGGGUCUGGAUCCUGGGUCUCGAUCUCCUGGGACUCGAUCCUGGGUCUCCGGGGUCACACCCGGGGCCGAAGGCAGACGCUCUCCCGCGGAGCCACGCAGGGGUCCCCUAACCACGAGAUUUUCAAGAGCGCGGUGUCCCGAUGGCUUGACCUCAGUGCCGUCAUGCGGCCUGGCCUUUUGUCCGUGCUGCACUCUCCUACUUUAUCUCCUACUCAUCAACCCAGACAGACAUAGGGGCAAACGGCCACGAGGAUGUCAAGACCCUGGGAGGUAUUUGUUAAUGGCCCACCUAGAAGGCAUCUUCGGCGGUUCCCGGUGGGACGCUGGGCUGGCACGGAGCCGGCGGGAGGUUUGUUUCGAUUGCGGGCAAACCCCGCCCCCCGCGCCCAAUUCCCCGCUUUUAACUUUCCUUCCCGCGGCCCCCGAGGCCGCGAAGACCAGUUCCGUGGUCCCUCCCACCGCUUCGGGCCGCGGCGGCCGCGAGAACACAGGAAGGAAGCGCCCACCCCCGGACCCCGAGGUCCCGCCGCACCUCCGCGCUCGCCCGAUGCAUUGUGGGCGCUGUAGUCCGGCCGGGACCCGUUGGCGACUACAAGUCCCGUGA